RNAcentral lists this small nucleolar RNA (75 nucleotides) under Zostera marina. RNAcentral's name for it is "Small nucleolar RNA SNORD53/SNORD92". It matches the Rfam family "Small nucleolar RNA SNORD53/SNORD92". Rfam says of the family: U53 is a member of the C/D class of snoRNA which contain the C (UGAUGA) and D (CUGA) box motifs. Most of the members of the box C/D family function in directing site-specific 2'-O-methylation of substrate RNAs. The human orthologue HBII-316 (SNORD92) is predicted to guide the 2'O-ribose methylation of 28S rRNA A3846. The record is from Rfam by way of RNAcentral. Lineage: Eukaryota; Viridiplantae; Streptophyta; Magnoliopsida; Alismatales; Zosteraceae.
UCGCCGUGAUGACACAUUUCAUGGACUAGAGUUUCUGAUCUUAUGUUGACGACAAACCCUUGGCUGUCUGAGCGA